CCCAUUAGCUAGUUGGAGAGGUAACGGCUCACCAAGGCAAUGAUGGGNAGCCGGCCUGAGAGGGUGAACGGCCACAAGGGGACUGAGACACGGCCCUUACUCCUACGGGAGGCAGCAGUGGGGAAUAUUGGACAAUGGACCGAGAGUCUGAUCCAGCAAUUCUGUGUGCACGAUGACGUUUUUCGGAAUGUAAAGUGCUUUCAGUUAGGAAGAAAAAAAUGACGGUACCAACAGAAGAAGUGACGGCUAAAUACGUGCCAGCAGCCGCGGUGAUCCGUAUGUCACGAGCGUUAUCCGGAUUUAUUGGGCGUAAAGCGCGUCUAGGUGGUUAUGUAAGUCUGAUGUGAAAAUGCAGGGCUCAACUCUGUAUUGCGUUGGAAACUGUGUAACUAGAGUNCUGCGGAACUACA
Molecule: ribosomal RNA, 410 nt
Filed under: uncultured Fusobacterium sp.
Lineage: Bacteria; Fusobacteriati; Fusobacteriota; Fusobacteriia; Fusobacteriales; Fusobacteriaceae
Description: bacterial SSU rRNA
Rfam family: Bacterial small subunit ribosomal RNA
Source: RNAcentral